This 442-nucleotide ribosomal RNA is filed under the name uncultured bacterium. RNAcentral describes it as "partial 16S ribosomal RNA". It matches the Rfam family "Bacterial small subunit ribosomal RNA", at positions 338 to 795 of the family's 1533-position model. The record is from RNAcentral.
CCUACGGGAGGCAGCAGUGGGGGAUAUUGCACAAUGGGGGCAACCCUGAUGCAGCGACGCCGCGUGGGCGAAGAAGUAUUUCGGUAUGUAAAGCCCUAUCAGCAGGGAGGAAGACAUGACGGUACCUGGGUAAGAAGCACCGGCUAAAUACGUGCCAGCAGACGGGGUAAUACGUAGGGUGCAAGCGUGAUCCGGAAUUACUGGGGGUAAAGGGAGGGAAGGCGGGACGGCAAGGCUGAGGUGAAAGCCCGCGGCCCAACCGCGGGAUUGCAUUGGGAACUACCGGGCUGGAGUGCCGGAGAGGGAGGCGGAAUUCCUAGUGUAGCGGUGAAAUGCGUAGAUAUGAGGAGGAACACCAGUGGCGAAGGCGGCCUAUUGGACGGUGACUGACGCUGAGGUGCGAAAGCGUGGGGAGCAAACAGGAUUAGAUACCCCUGUAGUC